This 356-nucleotide long non-coding RNA is filed under the name Elaeis guineensis (African oil palm). RNAcentral's name for it is "long non-coding RNA (EGUI_LNC059950)". Lineage: Eukaryota; Viridiplantae; Streptophyta; Magnoliopsida; Arecales; Arecaceae. The record is from RNAcentral.
GGCAAACUAAGAUAUCCGUACUUUGGUCUGUGGUGACAAAUUAAAGAAUCAUGAUUUAGUUCAUGACUAACAAUUCACAAUGUUACGAUUCAGUCCAUGACUAACAAUCCACAUCAUGACUAAUUUAAAUCCUCUUACAUAAUCAAUAAAUCAUUCAAUAAUUUUAUAUUAUAUUUCUUGCUUAAUUUUAAAACAAUCAAUAUCUUAUUCCAAAUAAUUAAUAUAUGAUACAUGUAUACAGUAAAGAAUAUGUGUUUUUAUGUAGUCGUAUCAGCAAUCAUAUUACAAAUGAUAAUCAUCUAGGCAAACCAAAAAUCAAUAUGCAUAAUAUAAAAACAUAAUAUAUAUACGGGUGA